GAUUGUAACGCGUGGAUAACCUGCCUACAUGACCGGGACAACACCGGGAAACUGGUGCUAAUACCGGAUACGCUCAUCUAUACACAUGUAUAGAUGAGGAAAGGAGAAAUCCGCAGGUAGAUGGGUCCGCGUCCCAUUAGCUAGUUGGCGGUGUAAAAGACCACCAAGGCGACGAUGGGUAGCCGGCCUGAGAGGGUGGACGGCCACACUGGAACUGAGACACGGUCCAGACUCCUACGGGAGGCAGCAGUGGGGAAUCUUCCGCAAUGGGCGAAAGUCUGACGGAGCAACGCCGCGUGAGUGAGGAAGGCCUUCGGGUCGUAAAGCUCUGUCUUCAGGGAAGAAAAAAAUGACGGUACCUGAGGAGGAAGCCCCGGCUAACUACGUGCCAGCAGCCGCGGUAAAACGUAGGGGGCGAGCGUUGUCCGGAAUUACUGGGCGUAAAGGGCGCGUAGGCGGUUAUUUAAGUCAGAGGUGAAAACUGUGGGCUCAACCCACAGCCUGCCUUUGAAACUGGAUGACUUGAGGGCAGGAGAGGGGAGUGGAAUUCCCAGUGUAGCGGUGAAAUGCGUAGAUAUUGGGAAGAACACCAGUGGCGAAGGCGGCUCUCUGGCCUGUUUCUGACGCUGAGGCGCGAAAGCGUGGGGAGCAAACGGGAUUAGAUACCCCGGUAGUCCACGCCGUAAACGAUGGGUGCUAGGUGUAGGAGGUAUCGACCCCUUCUGUGCCGUAGUUAACACAAUAAGCACCCCGCCUGGGGAGUACGGCCGCAAGGUUGAAACUCAAAGGAAUUGACGGGGGCCCGCACAAGCGGUGGAGCAUGUGGUUUAAUUCGACGCAACGCGAAGAACCUUACCAGGGCUUGACAUCCUCUG
RNAcentral lists this ribosomal RNA (875 nucleotides) under uncultured Peptococcaceae bacterium. RNAcentral's name for it is "bacterial SSU rRNA". It matches the Rfam family "Bacterial small subunit ribosomal RNA", at positions 108 to 993 of the family's 1533-position model. The record is from RNAcentral. Lineage: Bacteria; Bacillati; Bacillota; Clostridia; Eubacteriales; Peptococcaceae.